This 387-nucleotide unclassified non-coding RNA is filed under the name Bombus terrestris (buff-tailed bumblebee). RNAcentral's name for it is "misc RNA ENSBTSG00005037725.1". Lineage: Eukaryota; Metazoa; Arthropoda; Insecta; Hymenoptera; Apidae. The record is from RNAcentral.
GAACAAAGGUAUAGUCAAUAAUUAAAAUUUUUUUGCCUCUUCCUAAAACAGAAAACGUCUGACAUUUCUAGCUUUUAAAAUCUGAUCCUUUUUAUACUUCAUCCUGUGUUUAUGAAAGCAGAUCGUGAUCUGUCACUUAUGGAGAACAAUGGUAAAGUCAGUAAUUAAUCUUUUUUUUUUUUUGUCUAUUCCUUAAACUGAAAGCGUCUGACAUCUCCAGCUUCUAAAAUCUGAUCCCUUUUAUACUUCAUCCUAUGUUUCUGAAAGAAGAUCGUGAUUUGUCGCUUAUGGAGAACAAAGAUAAAGUCAAUAAUUGAACUUCUUUUUUGUCUAUUCCUAAAACUGAAACAUCUGACAUCUCCAGCUUUUAAUAUCUGAUCCUUUUUA